CCCUUAGAUGUUCUGGGCCGCACGCGUGCUACACUGAAUAAUUCAAUGGGUAAGGGAACGCUAGAGCAUUACCUAAUCUUGAAAUUUGCUCGUGAUGGGGAUCGACGGUUGCAAUUUUCCGUCGUGAACGAGGAAUACCUUGUAGGCGCAUGUCAUCAUCAUGCGCCGAAUACGUCCCUGCCCUUUGUACACACCGCCCGUCGCUCCUACCGAUUGAGUGAUCCGGUGAGGCUCUGGGACCUGGACGGAAAGAGCGUUUCGCUUGUUCUGUUUGGGAAACUUGGUCGAACCUUAUCAUUUAGAGGAAGGAGAAGUCGUAACA
This 322-nucleotide ribosomal RNA is filed under the name uncultured eukaryote. Its description in RNAcentral is "partial 18S ribosomal RNA". It matches the Rfam family "Eukaryotic small subunit ribosomal RNA", at positions 1470 to 1796 of the family's 1831-position model. The record is from RNAcentral.